UCCUCAGGAUUUAACUUGACAACGGCCUUGAGAACUAGAGGAAGCUUAUUAAAGUUGUCAUAUUCAUCCAGUUGAAUUGGUUUACUAGAUUACUCACCUCCUUAGUGCAACACUAAUUUCCACUAGGUGCUAGAACCACUUAACAAUUACGGAUUCGAGGAGUUCAACUAGUUGUUUGCUGAUUCUCUACUGCUCAACAGGCCCUAUUCAAACAGAUUGAAAACCGCAAAUAGGUAUAGGUGC
RNAcentral lists this long non-coding RNA (243 nucleotides) under Carica papaya (papaya). RNAcentral's name for it is "long non-coding RNA (CPAP_LNC005905)". Lineage: Eukaryota; Viridiplantae; Streptophyta; Magnoliopsida; Brassicales; Caricaceae. The record is from RNAcentral.